ACGCACGCUGGCGGCGCGCCUCACCCAUGCCAGUCGAACGGAGCUGAGAGAAGCUUGCUUUUCUUAGCUUAGUGGCGAACGGGUGAGUAACGCGUGAGUAACCUGCCCUGGAGUGGGGGACAACAGUUGGAAACGACUGCUAAUACCGCAUAAGCCCACGAUCCGGCAUCGGAUUGAGGGAAAAGGAUUUAUUCGCUUCAGGAUGGACUCGCGUCCAAUUAGCUAGUUGGUGAGGUAACGGCCCACCAAGGCGACGAUUGGUAGCCGGACUGAGAGGUUGAACGGCCACAUUGGGACUGAGACACGGCCCAGACUCCUACGGGAGGCAGCAGUGGGGGAUAUUGCACAAUGGGGGAAACCCUGAUGCAGCGACGCCGCGUGGAGGAAGAAGGUUUUCGGAUUGUAAACUCCUGUCGUUAGGGACGAUAAUGACGGUACCUAACAAGAAAGCACCGGCUAACUACGUG
RNAcentral lists this ribosomal RNA (467 nucleotides) under uncultured bacterium. Its description in RNAcentral is "partial 16S ribosomal RNA". It matches the Rfam family "Bacterial small subunit ribosomal RNA", at positions 29 to 507 of the family's 1533-position model. The record is from RNAcentral.